GGGUCAGUAGGUUGGUCGUGCCACCGGUACGUACUGGUCUCACUGAUUCCUCCUUCCUGAAGAACCGUAAUGCCACUAAUUUGGUGUUGCGGGGAAACAGGACUGUUACUUUGAAAAAAUUAGAGUGUUUAAAGCAAGCUAAUGCUUGAAUACAUUAGCAUGGAAUAAUGAAAUAGGACGAUCGAUCCUAUUUUGUUGGUUUCUAGGAUUGACGUA
RNAcentral lists this ribosomal RNA (216 nucleotides) under Glomeromycotina sp. RNAcentral describes it as "partial small subunit ribosomal RNA". The stretch from base 40 to 216 matches the Rfam family "Eukaryotic small subunit ribosomal RNA", at positions 686 to 864 of the family's 1831-position model. Lineage: Eukaryota; Fungi; Glomeromycota. The record is from RNAcentral.